Molecule: ribosomal RNA, 797 nt
Filed under: uncultured bacterium
Lineage: Bacteria
Description: bacterial SSU rRNA
Rfam family: Bacterial small subunit ribosomal RNA
Source: RNAcentral
AGAGUUUGAUCAUGGCUCAGAUUGAACGCUGGCGGCAUGCUUUACACAUGCAAGUCGAACGGCAGCACGGGUGCUUGCACCUGGUGGCGAGUGGCGGACGGGUGAGUAAUACAUCGGAACGUGUCCUGAAGUGGGGGAUAACGCAUCGAAAGAUGUGCUAAUACCGCAUAUACUCUGAGGAGUAAAGUAGGGGAUCGAAAGACCUUAUGCUUUUGGAGCGGCCGAUGUCUGAUUAGCUAGUUGGUGGGGUAAUUGCCUACCAAGGCGACGAUCAGUAGUUGGUCUGAGAGGACGGCCAGCCACACUGGGACUGAGACACGGCCCAGACUCCUACGGGAGGCAGCAGUGGGGAAUUUUGGACAAUGGGCGCAAGCCUGAUCCAGCAAUGCCGCGUGAGUGAAGAAGGCCUUCGGGUUGUAAAGCUCUUUCAGUUGAGAAGAAAAGAUUGUAACUAAUAAUUACAGUUCAUGACGGUAUCAACAGAAGAAGCACCGGCUAACUACGUGCCAGCAGCCGCGGUAAUACGUAGGGUGCGAGCGUUAAUCGGAAUUACUGGGCGUAAAGCGCGCGUAGGCGGUUUUUUAAGUCAGAGGUGAAAGCCCAGUGCUCAACACUGGAACUGCCUUUGAAACUGGAAAACUUGAAUCUUGGAGAGGUCAGUGGAAUUCCGAGUGUAGAGGUGAAAUUCGUAGAUAUUCGGAAGAACACCAGUGGCGAAGGCGACUGACUGGACAAGUAUUGACGCUGAGGUGCGAAAGCGUGGGGAGCGAACAGGAUUAGAUACCCUGGUAGUCCAA